RNAcentral lists this ribosomal RNA (439 nucleotides) under uncultured bacterium. RNAcentral describes it as "partial 16S ribosomal RNA". It matches the Rfam family "Bacterial small subunit ribosomal RNA", at positions 339 to 795 of the family's 1533-position model. The record is from RNAcentral.
CUACGGGCGGCUCCAGUGAGGAAUAUUGCACAAUGGGGGGAACCCUGAUGCAGCAACGCCGCGUGGAGGAUGACGCAUUUCGGUGUGUAAACUCCUUUUAUAUGUCAAGAAAAUGACGGUAGCAUAUGAAUAAGCACCGGCUAACUCCGUGCCAGCAGCCGCGGUAAUACGGAGGGUGCAAGCGUUACUCGGAAUCACUGGGCGGAAAGGACGCGUAGGCGGGUUGGAAAGUCAGGUGUGAAAUCCUACAGCUUAACUGUAGAACUGCACUUGAAACUUCUAAUCUAGAGUAUGGGAGGGGGAGAUGGAAUUAGUGGUGUAGGGGUAAAAUCCGUAGAUAUCACUAGGAAUACCUAAAGCGAAGGCGAUCUCCUGGAACAUUACUGACGCUAAGGCGUGAAAGCGUGGGGAGCAAACAGGAUUAGAUCCCCUCGUAGUC